AUGGGGUAUAUUAUGCCAGCUAAGAGUUGCCAAAAGGCCUGUGUGAUUGCUUUCCCACAAAGAAAAGAGGCCUUGUGUUUCUGUGGUGAGAAACGGGCCUCACUGUGGGAGAAGAGGGCUCAGGCAGGACUGGCAGUAAUCGGUCACAGCGUCCUUGGGACAUUGCUGGUCUCUGUGCCCUCAGCACUAAUGCUGGAAACCCAGCAUGAACCAGGAGCUGCGUUGCCUGCACUGGGGAUAUCUGAAUUAAAUGAAUUUCUCCCAACUUCCAUGAGCACCUCCAGGCUUCCAUGGAUGCAGGGCAAUGGAGUGCCCCUGCUUCUAGUGGUCCUGCAUCCAUAACAGUGUUCACCCUGGUGUUAGCAGCUGCACACAUCUGAGUGUGGAGCUCUCCCUUCCUAACCCCCAUUGCAACUGUGAGCCUUCCAUUGGACAAGUGAGGAUGAUGAUGCUGUUCAUCCUGCAGCUUUAGACCUAUGUUGAAGCCACAGUAAAGAGCCAUUUUAAGUUCUGGCAGUUGAACUGAGUUUCUUACAGUGUGAGAUUUCUAACAAGAAGCAGUUGAUGUUUUGAACUGCUGAAAAGCCCAGUUUGGGGAAUUUUCCUUCAGGAGGGAGUGGUAGUGCUCUCAGAGUACGGUUCUAGCAUUGCACAGGCAUCUGGACUUGCAGAGAAAUUCCCAAGAGUCUCCUGCUUCUUGUGCCAAGAUCACUAACAAAAACGAAUGGAGUGUCAGGAGUUUUCCCUGAAGACUGCUGCUUCCAGUGCUCUGGUUAUCAGCUUAUCAGCAGCCUUUUAAUUCUCAUUCUGCCGUAGCGUAGCAGGUCAUACGCAUUUUGAUCUUAGCCUCAUGCUUUCUCUUACGUGCACCCCUGCUGCAUUUUGGAGAGUAGUUCUAUUUGGGGAAGACUGUGAAACUCUGCUAAGCUAUCAGAGGAAAGAAGACCUGAGGAAGAGAAGUGGGAAGAAUUUAAGCACAAGAAAGACAGAUGUGAUUACUUUUCAUUAAUUAAUCUUGUUGUGUACAGUAUAUUAGAAGACAUAUCAGUGCAUCAACUUCAGUUAUAUUUCCAGUCUGAAAUAUUGAAAUUUUCUUUGCCAGAGAUAUCCAGAAAUAAUCUGCCUUUUUUUUUUUUUUUUUUUGGUCUAUACAAUUUUCAUUCAGGGGCUAGAGGAUCACAGAAGGACUCCUGCUUUGUUUGCAAUUAGUAGUCAGUCAGCUUAUAGUGGAAGUGCUUGUUUCAUUCUUGCACUUCAGGGUAAUAAAUUUUAAUGUGCUUUUGAUAUUUUGGGCUUCAGGGUCAUUCAAGUCAGGGCCAUCCUCCUUGAGCUUCUUCUAUACUGGCAGAGUUUCCAAACUUUGUCAGUAGUAAAUAACACUUUUUAAAAGGUAAAUAGUAGUGAAAAUAAACGUAAUCCCGAACGCUUUCUGUUAAUAAUGAAAAUAACAAGUAGCUUCAUGACUGUUGUUCUCAGUGUUGCUGUCACCAAAGUAAUUCUGUAUUUCUCUGUUAUCAAAUAAAAAGGCUGGGUUUAAAAAAAAGUGAGCAUGUCAUAUUGCUCGUUCUAACAUCUUUCCUUCAAAAUCCCUUGUGAAACACUGCAGACUACCUGAUCUGCUGACCCGAUUAAUAACAUUUCCAUUGAAAGAACAGGAAAGUAUUGUGUUUAUUCCCACUUAUGUGGUAUUGUUCUUUAUUUCAUAAUUCUUAAAAUCUGGUCUACACAACUUGAAAUUUCAUGGGUCAGUUCUCCUUCAUACUUUGAUUUUCCCCGUAACUUGAGUAAUGUGCUAAAAUUAUUGAUUGGCGUGGAUCCGUAACUCCCCUCUGAAUGUUUGUAUCAUUUCUUUACCUGGUUUUGUAUUUCCCAGCUGUCAGCUGAGCUGAAUUUCCUUAUGAUUCUGUCUGUUGAGGUGUAGGGAAAGAGAAGCUUCUGAUCUCUCUCCUUUUAAUCUGAUUUUAUUGUUCCUUUGCUGUCUCCUUUCUGGGUGAUUAAUCUCACUAUUUUAGCCUUCGAAGAGCCUUUCCAAGGGCUUGAUUGUUCUUAGAACCCGGAGGACUGCAGCCCCUAGUUUUAAAACACCUCCUUGGAAAUGGCACGACCAGUUCUAUCCAGAAUAGCAAGGUGAUGCUCAGCAGUUAUUAUAUACAUAAUAAUUCAGGUAGCUGUGUAGUUUGUCAUGUGGCCAACAUUUUGCAGUGAUGAAUUGAGCAGAGAUCUUUACUGAAUUUCCUGCAAUAUUCCCAGGUCCCUAUCGUGGCUUGAUUAAGCUAAUUGAGAGCCCAGCAAGUAAUUCGGCACCAUUAAUAUGCACAAACUUACCAACUUCGCAUUUAGCUUAUCAUGGAUGUGAAAAAUUGCACAGCUCUGAUCAGAAUUAAGUUAUUUGCCCACACUGGGCUAAGACAUCAGCGAGUCUUGAAGUGCUGGUUUAGUGCAGUAUUUUUGGUCUGUGAAAGUCGUAGUUAUUUUCCUAAUGGAGGUAGUGGAAAGACUUUGUUGACUAGAAGGGGCUUUGGAAUGGAUAUGUGGAGAGAAAAUCAGCUUCUUUCUCUAAGUGGAGGAGGAGGAUCUUUCAUUAUUAAAGCAGAGGUGCCAGCGCUCAGAUUUCAAGGCAUAGUUUUAAAUUCCAGUGGGUUGUUAAAUGAGAUUUUUCUGCUGACGAAAAUUUGCAUAGCUGUAUUGCAGUGCAAAUUCUUGCAACUUAUUUCACCCGUGGGACACUGUGGCAGAAACCAGGAAAUAGUGUUGUUACAGAAAUACCUCCCAGUCCUAUUACCUCUGCGGUUGCACGCAACUGCUGUAUCUGCGCGAGAUGAAGAUUAUGUGGAUAACUAGAACUUUGCAAGAAACAUAUCCAUAUUCCUGUUCUUCUACUCUAUUUUCAUUUUGGCUGUGUAAUACUAACUGAAUUCUUUUGGCCUUGUUUUUGAGAUCAUAUAAAAUAUCUGGAUAACUGGGGGGCAUCCCAGUGGCAAAGGCAUGGUGUAAGAAUGUCGUUGUCCAGAAGUCAAGAUGUCUAAGAUAGGUUUGUGAAGAUAAGUGGAGUGCCAUAGGGUCAGGGCUGUCUGGUGUUACCUGGUGAUGGUCAUGUUAAGUUGCAUCAGUAUAGAGUUCCAGUGGCCUCGCCUGUUCUAGUCCUGUAACAAACUUGCCCUACUUAAAAUAUUUGUAAGCAUUUAUUGAGGAUGCAGAAAAGGAAGAACAGUUAAAAGCAUUGAAACGUAAAUGUCAAGUAAAGUAUUUGCUUGAAUAACAUCCCUUAUUAUUUUUUCUUCAAAUGGUAGAUGGAUUUAUAAAAGAAACCGUCUCCUCUCUGUCCACUAGCAGUCUUUUAGAUGAUACUGAAGGUUGGAAUAUUUGUCCUGGGUGGGGAAAAAUGUUGUUGAAUUGGUCUGGAGCUGUUUUAAGACAAAACGAGUGAAAUGCGUACAAAAAUGAGGAGAACACGGUAUCAAAGACAGAAACACAAGUUCUGUUUCUUUUCCUUUUCUGUGGAUUUUUAUGGCUUAGGUUGUCAUAGCAUAAGGCAGUGUUGGCUCCUCUGAAACCAGGCAAACUGAUGUUCAGGUUCUGUAGGCCAGCCAGUCAAUACCCACAGGUUUGAUCAUGACUGCUUUAUGGUAAUAACAGUGGUAAUGCAGCCAAAUCCCUUUGGUUAUACUUAGCAGCUGGGAAGAUAAAUGAGUCCUAUAUAACUACGAAUCAACUGCAGAAUGAUAAUUUUAGUUUAAUGUUUAAGCAUGUUUUUAAUGUUCCCCUUAUUGCAGUGUGUUUUCAGCAAAGCUGGAAGAUGUUGCAAAUACAACGUUGGGGUGUUGUUUCUAAAUUGAUAUCAUUAAGAGCUGGUCUGAUUAGUGCGAUUAAUGUCAGCAUGUUCCAAAGAAGGGGAGGGUUCUGUUUUUCAGGUUGGCUUCCCGUGUAUGCUCUUAAUUUGAAGUUGUGUGAAUACAUUUUAUAUUUUCUGAAUACAUCUGUCACAUCUUACCUUAAUGGUGACAGCAUAUCAUACCACGCUGUGUUUCUGUCUUACCGUAGCUACACUGGUGUCUCAUGAAUACUCCUGCACAAAGGCUGCUGCAGGUAGCGCAGCUGAGUGAGUUCCUGUCUGACUCAGACGCCUCUAGCUCAGGCUUUUACCUCUGCAAUUUAUGGAAAUUUUCCUCCUGCCACAUUGUGGCCAGGUUGCAGCUAACCUCAUGUCCAUUCUCAGGGUGGGAGGAAGAAUGCCAGACAACCCUUACUGUGUCUGUGCAGCAGGAAAGCAUUUUUGCAAGCCUGAAGAGGAGGGAACUGUUAUGUGGUGGGAAGCACUAAUUGCUUAGGGGAAAGCAAGGUAAGGUCUGGCCGCAGCUGACCACGCAGAGCGAAGCUUUGAACCCUUUGCCACAGCACUUCUUUGCCUACAACACUGGUAAUGUGCUGUUGAAGUACAGUCCUUUAGAUGUUGAAACAUUUUCUGUGUAUGUCUUCUCAAGCUGUUGCUCAUCUUCUGUGAUCCCUCUACCACUUGUGCAGCUCCUCUUUUUUUUUUUUUUUUAACUGGUUUAGUCAGUUGCUUCUGGUAAAGCCCCAUACUUCAGCCCUGCCAGUCAAGAGAAGGCCGACUUUUCUGUGUUAACUCAGUUUGUCUGCCUCCUUAUGUCUACUUCUGUCAGCUCUGAGCUGAACUUUAAACAAUUCUUCCCAUUAGUACCCCUUCCCAGUUUUCUCCACAGCCUUUAUGGGUUGUUCAUGCUGUGCUUGUGCUUUUCCUUUUCUAACUUAAUCUUACUUAGAAAGAAGAAUCCAGUUGAUUUGCAGUAUUACAAUCUGUGCUGGAAGCCAGGAAUACGUUAAUUCUGACUGCAGUACUGGCUACCCACAUCUCGCUGGUUCUUUAGGAAAUGAUAGAUAUCAAUAUAUGGAGUUACUUUGUUGAGAGGCCUACAGUUUUGCAAAACACUUAAGAAUGUGCUUGAUGUGAAAAAUCUGUUUAUCCAGUUGAAAGCAGCAAGGUGCUUCAUGUUAUUAAAGUUAAAGCACUUAAGCAUAAGUUUAUCAACCAUGUAUACGUUCAGACUGGGUAACAGAAGAGGGUUAUUUUCUAUUUAAAUCAGCAAAUAAGUGGCCUUUUAAAAAUUGGAACAUUCUUUUAGAAGGAAUUAUGGGCACCAGUCAGCCCAUUCGAAGGUGGAUCUUGUCUGUGAAGACAAGAACACAGUUGUGGAGCUUAGUUCUGUAUUUCCAUUUAAGCCCAAGGUGGACGGUGCUUUUCUUUUACUAUUAUUUAAAAGUGUAUUUUUAUUGAUGCUCAUUGGCAUGCUGCUGUGCUGUUAAACACAGUACCAGAAACUAAUAAAAAACAUUGCUCUGGGUUGUAGACUUAGGCAAGAGCUGAGGUGUGGUUUCAGUGUCUGCCUUGCUGAACCAAGGAGAUAAAUUGUACACGUGUCUUUGGCUGGCAUGCUUUGCUUUGUUAUCUGUACAGGGUAGGACAAUGACUCUUCCCGUUCCCAGUCAUGCAUGGCAUAAGAGCCCAGAAGAAUUACCCUAGUGGUAGCUCCUUAAAUAAGCAUCCAGCCAGGUUCAUGACUGAGCAUGAAGUUUCUCAUGGUUCAGAGUUCAGUGUUACAAGGGAAUAAAAUACUUCUCACUAAAUAAUAGUGGGAACACAGUAGGAGGCAUUUUGUUGAGGGCAUACAAGCUAUUGUCCUACCCUUGCCCAGAAAGCAACAUACGUCAAACAGAAGAUGUCUUCCUUACAUUCUAGCUAAAUCAAUGUUAUUUCUUCCAGAAUACUGCUGCUUCCAUUCCUGGAGAUAAAAAAACAUAGCUCACUGUCAGAUAAUUCUUCCUCUUGGGCUUUCUGUACUUGACCAGUGGUUUUUAGUUUUGUUAGAAAAGGAAGACUUUCGUUAUCCCCGGAAGAUUAAAUUGCCUUGCUGGCAAAUCUGGUUCAUUGAAGAAAGAGAGGAGGAAAAAAGCAGAUAGGGAAGAAAUAGAAAAGAAAAUAAUUCAGGGUAUCUUUAUAGUCUCCUAUUGUUAGGAUGUCAAUUACUAUCAUAUAUCACCUAUACCACAAACUUGUCAUACCUGAUGUUAUUUUUUCUUUUUUUUUUUUUUCCUUCAACUAGUAGGAAAUUUCUCAAUUAUCCAUAGGAUUUUUUUGUUAUUAUUAUUAUUGUUGGUCUCAUCUUUAAAAUAUAGCCGUGAUGCUCAGAGAUUUAGUUUUUAACACCCAGUUGAGAAGGAUGAAUAUUAAAGGAUCAUAGUUUUCCUAUGCAGUUCUGCAUUCCAUGGAAAUGAUUGCAGAAAAUAGUGCCCUUUCCCACUUUUUUUAUAUGGUACUGCUCUGUUUCAAAUGCUGUUACCUCACACUACAGAACUGCCAAGAAUGCUAGAUUAAGCAGUGUAUUCCAUAACCGUGGGCUCUGAUUUAACACUGUAACACCCCUUUUGAUGAGUGCAGAGUGUGUUCAGUUACUGUAAACAUGGGCUUUCCAAAAUGGGCUAUAGGAGUAGAAAGAAGGUUAAUGAACCAGUUACUGAGGAGAAGAAAAAAAGCUUCUCUAAUUGACAAAAAGGUCUGCAGGGAGUCAGCUAGAUUGCAUGCAGUUGAGGCAAGCAGGCUGUGGUCUGUGAUCUUGGACAGUGGUUAGUUAUUGAUGACUGUAUUAGGCGUUCUGAUUCUGAGAGACAGCUGCAGUGUGCUUAGCUCUUAGCAGUUGUGGGGUUGGAUUUUUUUUUUUUUUUUUUUUUUUUGCUUCCACCAAAAUCAGACCUUCAGGGUACCAAGAAUUACGGGAAGCACAUAGUCUCAGUACAUGUCAACUUGCUAACUCUAGGUACAGAUCUUCCCUUUUCUCAGUGAUGUGAGAACAAGAGACUGAUGUCCCUUGGAGAGCAGGUAUUCACCCCAGCCCUGGAAGGACAGGCCAGAUCCACCACUACACCCUGGUAGUGCUUGUUUGACCUUCCUAGAGCAGCUCCUGUCCCAGAAGCUCUGCUUUCAAGCUCCAGGAUUGACUGUGGCCACAGAAAGUUUGUCAGAAGGGCCACUGGCUCUCUCAGGGAACAGAAGACAGAGGGUAGAUAAUGAGCAGAGCUGAAAGGUGAGAGGUGUCUUCUAGUUCAGCUCUGUCUUGGUCAAGUUCUUGAUCCUUCUUGAUCUACCUAGUUCUUAGGUAGAGUCAGUUCUCGUUUUCCUUUCAAUUACAGCUCCAUCCUACUUUUCUGUCCCUUCCAGCAUGGGGAGUUUAAUCCUCUCUCAGUUCUAUUUCAGUUGUGUUUUUUUUUUUUCUUUGCUUUCAUGACUCAGGACUUUUUUUCCUCUUUUCCUUCAUGCUAUGUCAUUUCUUCUGGCUGGAGUGGUGUCCUCCUUUUCUGAAAGGAAACAUCAACCCUGCAGGAGGAUUAAAGGAGACUUUUAAAUAAAUUCCUAUGGAGCCUCUACCCCUUGUGAAAACUGGAAGAAAAUGGCAGUGAGUUUCAAUUGUAGCGAGCUUUAUUUCUGUACAGUAUAAUGUAAUUCAUAAUGUUAUCAAUAUCUAUAAAAGCAUAAAGAAAGGAUGGCAGUAGGAGUUACAAAGAGAAAACAAAAAACACAGACAUAAUAAAAUCAGAAGUCUUAUUAAACUUCAAAACACUGUAGAAGAGGAGAAAGGAUUGGUCAGAACCACAAAUCAGAGGCUAUUCUGGAAAAAAACAACUCUGUAAAGAUACAAAAGUGAAGAUGGAAGAUGAAGCCCCCUCGAGCCAGCAAAAGAGAAGCUCACCUAAGCCAGUUCUAACUGAAUAGUUUAGGAACUGGAGAGAGAGAGAAUGCUUGGCAAUUUUGGCUUAUAUUGUGUGCAGAAAGAAAACAUAAUCACAAACUUUCCUCUGGGUGAAGGGGAUCAGAGACGCACUGUCAAUUUGACUAUAUUAUUGAGACAGUGUUUAAAAAAUAAACAAACAACCCUGCAGCUUUCUCUUCAAAAUUCCCCACUGUAACAACAAAUAAAAGUAGUCCAAAAUUUAAAUCUCAAACAUCUCAAUCAGUCAAAACCUAGACAGAAUAAAGCAUGAUAGAUUCUUUAAAGUUAGUAAUUGUGUCAGAGGUGAGAUCGCAAGAUCUCUUCUCCUUUAAUGAACGUGAUUAAAACCAUGGGGCUUCCUUUCCAUACCACCUUGAGAAGCAAAUAACACAAUAGAGAACUGCAUCAAUAAGGUGUUAGGUGCUCCAUUCUUAGUUCACCCUGCAUUUUGUACCAACUCCAGCUGCUGGUAGCAGGAUACGGGGCUGGGUAACUUCUGUCCAGUUCUCCGGAGUGGAGACGUGUCUGCCAGCAGUGGGGAGCUUCAACCUGCGGCAUGGGCACAAUGCCUUGAAGGCUUACAGUUGUUUGCUGAAAUAAAAGCAGAACUGAAUGAGAUUUUUAUGAGAGAGCAUCAAUAAGAUAAUGACAAGUUAUAGCAAGAGCUACACCGCGUUUAGUUUCUUUGUCGUAGGGACGGCUACCAUUAUUUUGCCCUGAAGACUAUUUUCAGGUUAUUAGAAUCUGCAUAACUUUGAGUGAGUUGCUUUUCAAGUUUAUUUUAUUGAGUCAAAUGAUAAUUUGCAUCAGUUCUCAUGUGUAGGAAUCACUGCUUCAUUGCAUAAUAAAUCUGUUUCCUUAAACAUUCUGCCUAAGGCCUGUGCAGCGUUAUGGAUCGUUACAUUUGAAAUAAGGAGCGCUUCUUCUAGUUAAAAAGACUAAAGAAGUGAUGAAGCGGGGGAAUCUUUCCUUGCACCUCGUGAGAUAAAGGUUGCUGUUUUCAUGUUCCCAGUUAACUGAACUGUUUUGACUCAAAGACAGACUCAGGUUGGGAAAUGACAAAGAAGCCUUGGACAAAACAGCGGAUUUCUGAUUUGAUUAGUAUUUCAGGUUGAUACUGAUUCAGAGUUGUUACUUCUACUUGGACCUAGCAGUAACUACUUGUUUUCUUUUGCUAGCAAAAUACCGGGCACUUAAGACAAAUCCAUGUUACUGAUAUUAGGGUAUUCAAGACUUUUUCCUCAUCAAAUAAGCGAAUUCUUGGUUUGGCUUUUCAAAACUCAGAUGUUUAAUUUCUCUUUCAAGUUUUCACAGUGCUAUCUUUGUAAGCUAAUCCAUUUGUAAUUUGGUUAAUUCCAAAUGUUCUUCUGCAGAAACAGGGAAACUGGAGAUACGAUACCUGUCCCAGGCUAGAGAAGUGAAGAACAAAAUCUGUGUAUGCUCCCUGGUUGGUCCUGGUGUGUGUCAGGGCUGUGUUGUCAACCCCACAGACCAAAAUGUAAUUCCCAGCUCGUGUGAUACCACCUGCUAAUAGGAACUGCUCUUGCAGAAUUCUGCUAGCCAUAAUAAGGUGCACAUUGUGUACAAAUAAAAACAGCUCAGCUUUAUUACCUGGCUUGCAUGCCUGGUAAUGAAUAGAAGGAAGGCUCACUCCUUCACGAACGGCAGAAUUUAAUAUAGUCUCUUCCUGGAGUUGCACCAGUGGGACUAAAAGUUUAUCUCAGCAUUCCAAGGGCAAUAAAAAUCUAAAUUUAAACUCAGAAUGUCUUACUGGGGCAAGAGUACCCAGAGGCUAUGUACUCUUCAAACUUUGUUUAGGUCAUAACUGCUUAUGUAAAGUUAGUUUAUACCAGCUAGUUAGUUUUUAUGUUUUUGAGCAGUAUCUUCAUUACGAAGGAGAGACAUAUCAAGUGGACGGGUUGCACAUGAAAGUUCAGCUCUGCUUUCCUACUGCCUGUAAUUUAGCUUCUUACUGCUUAGCGCAUAGCCAUGUGAAGAAAUCCCCAGCUCUUAACCUUCAUUUUACAUAUGCCUUUAAUUCUCUUCUGAUUCAUUCCCGUAGUUAGACAUCUCAGAUAUUUGGGGCUUAAGGUUCAUAUGAAAGGGAGAGGCGGAAAAGAUACCGGCUGAAGGCUGGCAGUAGCAGGGAACCUCCUGUUAGCUGGUCACGGACUGGGAAGACUGCGUGGUGAGAGUAACCAGAUGCUGGCCAGUGGGCUUUUAGUUUAGAGCUUUGCUGGCCCAGUGGUGGCUUGUUGUCUUUACCAGAGUGUUAAAGGAGGGGAUGGGAGGUGGAGAAACUCACUGCCAUUUCUGCAGCAUGAAUAUGAGUCAGCCAGGUUGAGGAAACCAACUGGAGGUUUUCAUGAGGUCGUAUAAAAGAUUUGGUAGCCAGGACAUCCGUCAAGCACUGUAUGAGAGUGUGAAUCGCUGCAGCCCGCUAAUCGCUAAGACCCUCAUGAGCCCUCUUUGUUCUGGAAGGGGUUUGACUGUUCAGUUUAGCCACCAGAAAGGAGAAGUGGACAAAAGGGGUGUGGGAGGGCGUCAUUUUGGUGAUGAAACCUGAGGGGAAGCAGUAUUCUCACCUAGUGCCCCUUGGUAGCCAUCUCCCAUCUCUGUGUGCAGCUCCCCUGUGCUAGGAACACAGCUGUGCUGCCACAAAGCAGGCAGGGGGGACAUUGAGCAGAGCUGUGUGCCACAAACACUUCCAUGAGUGUGGCAAAGCCUCAGCCUGACUUGGAGAACUGAAUGUUUUGAGUUCUGUCAGGACAGAUUAUCAACGUGGGCAGCCGUGGGAUGUGAAAUGUGCUGGUUGUAGGUAUUCCUCCUUUCCCUUCGGCUCAAGGUUAUGGGCUUCAGAUGUCUUGUGUGGCUCUAUUGCUCUCCGGUUGCAUAUCCUGAGCUUCUUUUGGGUUAGAGAAACAGCUGCUGUUGUGUGUCUGUGGGGAGUGCAGAACAGUGCAGGGGAGAUGGAGUGACAUUGGGACAUCUGGCCAGAAAACUGGCCCUUGUAGCCUCGGAGGGAAGUAUCAGAAAGCCUAGUGGUUGCUUUGGGAACGUUUACCUGUGCUGUGCCGACCACUGCGUUCUUUUCUUGGGUAGGCUUUGAAAAUGUCGUGUUUCCAGUAACACCAUGUGACAAUGACUUAGCUCCUUGCUGCUGUACAGAAAAGCUGAAAUCAAAACUCUGGUAAUGUACUUGAAGGUUUGGCUAUGCUUAUGUGUAUGCUAAAUAACUUCCUCUGACUUCGGUGAGAGAACCUGCAAAUUUACAAGCAUUGGAAAUUCUCACAGGUUCUGUGUGACUCUGGGUAAUCACUGAAGUUGUUUGUGAACAACACCAGCACAUCUGUUUACUCUGUUUGUUCAUUCUUUGAAAUAGUUGUGCUAUGGGGAGCACGCACAGUAUCUUUAAGGUAUUUGAUGUGAUGGCAAAGAUUAGGAAUUACAGUGAAUCAGACUAAAUUACAUAAACAUACCUCUUGUUAUUCAGAAAAGGUCAAAAAAUGUUUCAGUAUAUUGGAGGAAUAAUAUGCAUAUGAUGUAAUCUCCAAAACUGACAGCCUCUGAAACUAUGGACGAGUCUCGACACAAAGAAAAUAGUUGAAGAGAAAUCCUUGCCUUUUAUAAAUGUCGAGACAUAUUUACAAAUCACCUUAUGUAAGUCUCCUGAUAAAUGUUCACACUUCUUUUUGAAGCUUCCUCUUUUUCUGUCAGCUGCUGCUUUAUGUACCAUUUGUCAAUUUUGUCUGCUUUCCCAACUCUACUUAGAUUUCCUUUCAUCUUUUGAUACCUGCCUCACCAUGACUGCUGCAUCUUUCUAAUUUCCUACACUUUUUGCAUUUACUGCCAUUCAGCCAUUUGCAUUGCUAAUUUGUUUUUGCAGAGCCACACCAGUGUUUUCAUACAGCUGUAGCUGUUUGUUGGUUGGGCGCUGCAGUCCCCACCAGUCAGAUUUCCUGUGGUAGGCAGAUGUGUAGGAUUUCCUCUGAUGUCUGUUGUUGUCCAGGCUUCCAACCACCAGGGCCACAGCUGACUCAGCAUUCCUGAAAACUGAAAUUGCUGUGUGCUUUCAUCCUUUCCUUGAGUAUCCUGCUUCACACAUGCUAUAUUCAGAGGUUUUUGUUAGUUUUAAUAUAACAUUUUUCCAGGAUUGUUUGUCUUCACCACUCUGCCUGUGUAAGACAGCUUUCCAGCAAUGAGCAAACGUUGGCUGUUCUCAGGUUCUAUUUGUGCAUGUGUUGGUAGUAGUUACCACCAUGAUAGUAAAUAAAUAAAUAAAAAUAAUAAUAAUUUAUUAUUUAGUAGAGCUGUCACUUUUAACUACAGACAUGCUAGGCCCUUUUGAACAAAAUGUUGUUGGUUUGGAUUGUGUUAAGAUUGGAAACAUCUAGAUGUUCGUCCAAUCUUUCCCAAAUAUAUUUUGGUGUCUAUGAGAAAAAAAAGAUUUCUGUUUCUCUUUGUUCUCUCUUUUACGUGCCUUAUUUUUACUCCAGCUCUAACUGUAGGAGCUGUAAAAAUUACACAUUUUCAAAGCAAAUGAAACAUCAGUUACAGCCAUAUAAACUUCUCUGCGCCAUAGCUCCUUCCUUGAAAUUCACUGAAGACACCGCUUCUGGGAGCAAAAAAUGUAUUUGUUCUUUGUGGCACUUUGUUGUUUGGCUUCUUUGAAAGAGCUGGUUGGGGAGCUGGUUGUUUCUGAUGGCAAUAGCGGUUGCUGCAAUCUCAGUGAAGUAUCCAACUGUGGCUUUAAGGUGUAUAUGUGGCAUAAAUUGUAGCAUGAAUAACUUUUCUGUAAUACAUUAAACUUCACCCAUUUGUUUCACAAAGGCGUGUAAUUCUAUACUGUUUAUAGUUGGUAUCAUGAUCAAGUUCUCAUCCUUUCUGACUUGCAUGACUUGCAAUUACUUUUUGAAUUUCUUCUUAAAUAUUUUGUAGCCUUUAUACUGCAUAUUCUUCUCCACUGUUUCACUGAUUUAUUUUUACUCACAGGACCAACAGUUGCAGCUCCUUAUGUUUUCAGAUUUACUACAAAAGAGCAAACAUUUAGAGCUGUGCCAACACGACUAUGUGCAUCAGAAUGUCUGUUCACGUGUGCAGAGGCCUAGUUAAACACCCUACUAGCCACACGCAUGUUUUCCAGUACUACGUAGUGCCUGCUGAUCGUAUGCAGACAGGGUGCAAAGGUUGAUGCUACAAACAUGGUCCUCAGGAAGUAAAUAGAAAAGAUUAUUUCUUACUUGCCAUUAAAAAUCACAGAGCUACUAGAAAAGGAAAAAUAAUCAGCUUUAGUAUCUCUCCCUUUCUCUUAAAUAAUAUUAUAAUAAUUAACUUCUAAUAUGUAAGUUCUUUAUAGGUCAUUAGUGGUAAAACUCUGCAUAUAUGUGCCUGUUUCAGAAAACAAUUCAGUCCAUAAUCUCAUAAUGUUGAAUUCUACCUGGCAGGUUUAUUUGGACUUAAUUUCUUUUUCUUCUAAUGCUGUUAGCUUGAGAGUUAUGAGCCAGGCAUCAGCUGACAGCACCAGGGGAAGGAUAGGUAUUGGCAAUGGCAUAAAAGCCAAAGAGGAGAAAAAAGAAUAGCUAUUGUAGCAUUUAUCAGUAUUCUACUAAUAGUCUGCUCAGACACAACUCUGGAAUAAAAUAGACAUUCAUACUGCAAUUUCUUUCAAAGGUUGAAGCUAUUCAUCUGCAGGGUUACAAGACAAAAGUCUAAACCUUCCAGAUAUUAUAGCUUUUUUAUUGUAUUGUUAUAAUAAGAAAAAACACCUCAGAAACCAUUUCCUUAAGUGUAAAUAUUCCACCUCCAGUCUCUUUGGAGGGAAUGUGGAUGCAAGCAGCUGACUUUCCUAGAAUGCAUUUUAACAUAGUUGAUGAUUUUACAUGUGAAAAGAAAACCAACUAUAGCCAAACAUCUUGGACAGGUAAUGGAGGCAAGAGGCUUUUCAUUUUGGGCUUGAUUGACCAUUCAUUGAAAUAUACAGAAAGGCCGCUGUUGGUUUCCAUAUUUUUGUUACCGUCUUUUCAGUGAAGGAGCAUGGGUUAGUGUGGGCAACGAGGUAAAGAGAUGCUCCGCAAGAACUCAGCCUUUUUCACUGUAGAAGAGACACGAGCACCAGGGUGGGAAAGGAGUCUUCAGUCAAGUCUGAGUUUGGAAACUCGCUGGACAUAUUUCUGUGUGAAGAUAUCUGAGAGUAGAAGCCACUUUCUGAAGCCAUUCUGUACAUAGAUUUGUACUAAAAGCACUAGGGGACUGGAAUCAUAAUACAGCUAAAUGGGAUCUCCAGCAUCCAUCGAAGGUCUUUAGAGAUCCAAAAGUUUGAAAUCAGCUUCCUGUUAGGGGGAAAAAAAGAAAAAGGAAAAUGCUGAUCCUGGGCUGGGCUUGGAAGAAGGCCGUGCUCUGCCCUUGAUGCUGUUUGCACACUCCCCAGAUUACUUGUGACUCUUGUCAGCAUGGUGUCAUUGCCUCUUCUUCAGUCCAUUGUGAAUCAUGUGCACACAGCAGAGAAAGAACAGAACCCACCUCAGUCCAUGAACGGCUCUGAGCUGAACAACUACCCCUCAAGAAUACAGGAGAAGUUUAGGCACCGAAUUCUAAAACAAAAAUCCUAAUAACCUCCUUUAAUGUCACAGCUGAGCCAUUAGGGAGAUCCCACAAGAACCUCCUUGACUCUAAGGUUAGUACCUUAGAUUUGGGCCAGCAAAGCUCCCCAGGCACCUGAAGUGAUGCUUUUUCCUUUAAAGUAUGCUCAGGUCUUUACAGAGCUUGAGUACCUCGGCAUCUAACCCUGUAUGGGCCUGACCAAGCCCCACAAUAGGCUUUAAUGCCCAGUUCUCCUAUGGCAAAGUAGUAACCUCCCAUACAAUGGAACCACGAGCCAUAUGCCAAGGAACUUGAGCUGUUGGUUUUGAGACUAGCACUGGGAAUAGCACGUUGUGUCUAAUCUAGUCUGUUUGCCUGCCUCUGGGAGAACAGCGCAGCAGCAGCAGUGGUCUCUGUUGUUUUUGGGGUCCCUUUGUGAGACAAGUAACAUGGUACGGAACAGUUACAGCAAAUAAGGCCUGUGUUUGGAAAAGCUGGGAGAAUCUGCUUGGUUUUCGUACUCUGAUUCUGAAGGACUGCAGAAACCAAGAAAAUCUUCACUGCAGAGGAAAAGAACCUGAAACGUGGCAUGCUAAAAUGUGCCGGGCUGUUCUAGCUACUCUUCCCUCAGCCUUCUUCAGGAGACAAGUUACUGUCCCAGAAGGGGUAAUGUGUCCCACAGCCGUAAUGUAAUACUGUACGGCAGAGGUGGCAAGCUGGCUCUCCCUUGUAAGCAGAUGUGCUUCGAUUCCUGGGUCUAAAUAGAAAUAAGAGGGCGUGAAUGUUUUGACACACUUUCUCCUGAUUUGGCAUACUGUAUGAUUACAGCAUGGUACAGACUCCAGAGGAAAUCCAAAAUACACCUUCCUGUACAGGCACAAAUCUGACUGUCUGAUAAACUGUUCAUAUGGAAAGACAUGAUUUGCAUGGUUGUUCUCAAAGCCAGUGUGUGUAUUCAUUAGUGGAAGCAUGUCAGAUAGCGAAUGUCAGUAAGAUGCCUUUGAUAUGUUGGUGUCUGGAUAAUUUUUUUGACCAGCUGAAUGGCAUAUGUUUAAAUGUAAACAUCUGUUCUGUAUUUGUACAGUACUGUCUGUAUUUUUUAUAUUUUCCCUUGGCUAAGAGUUUGAUUGAAACCUGCGAAAAAAUUGAGAUUCAUCCCAUUUUUAAAGAAACACAACUUCUGUAUUAUUUCAGCAUGUGUCUAGUAUGUUUGUUUUCUUAUAUGGGGAAGGCAUUUAAAAAAGGAUAUAUUUUUUUUCCAUAACCAAACCAGACUCGGUUUCCAGGCAAAAUAAAGAAAUUGAUUUGCCUCUAAGUCUGUUAACUGAAAAGAAUGUUGUCCCUGUAAGAGGGAGUAAGUAACAGUUCUGUGGUAAUGACAGUGUAAUGGUUUUAUCCAGAAAGUUUUCUGAUGCAGUUAGAGAACUUGCCAUGUAAUUAAUGACUUAAUAAAGAAAUGAAAUAAUA
Molecule: long non-coding RNA, 15827 nt
Organism: Anas platyrhynchos (mallard)
Lineage: Eukaryota; Metazoa; Chordata; Aves; Anseriformes; Anatidae
Source: RefSeq, a predicted model, not a curated record